RNAcentral lists this ribosomal RNA (301 nucleotides) under uncultured bacterium. Its description in RNAcentral is "partial 16S ribosomal RNA". It matches the Rfam family "Bacterial small subunit ribosomal RNA", at positions 509 to 809 of the family's 1533-position model. The record is from RNAcentral.
CAGUCGCCGCGGGAAUACGAAGGUCCCGAGCGUUGUUCGGAAUCACUGGGCGUAAAGGGAGCGUAGGCGGCGUGGUAAGUCAGAUGUGAAAUCCCGGGGCUCAACCCCGGAACUGCAUCCGAUACUGCCGUGCUAGAGGAUUGGAGAGGUAGCUGGAAUUCUUGGUGUAGCAGUGAAAUGCGUGGAGAUCAAGAGGAACACUCGUGGCGAAAGCGAGCUACUGGACAAUAUCUGACGCUGAGGCUCGAAGGCCAGGGUAGCGAAAGGGAUUAGAUACCCCCGUAGUCCCUGUCUCUUAUAA